This is a non-coding RNA of Podarcis lilfordi (Lilford's wall lizard), 82 nucleotides long. The record is from the annotation of a GenBank genome assembly. NCBI's taxonomy places the organism in Eukaryota, Metazoa, Chordata, Lepidosauria, Squamata, Lacertidae.
GCCAGACCAGUUUCAAUAGCUCACUUGGAAGAGCGUGAGAUUCUUUAUCUCAAGGUUGUGGGUUCGAGCCCCACGUUGGGCA